RNAcentral lists this small nucleolar RNA (79 nucleotides) under Nomascus leucogenys (northern white-cheeked gibbon). RNAcentral describes it as "Small nucleolar RNA U3". It matches the Rfam family "Small nucleolar RNA U3", at positions 1 to 79 of the family's 219-position model. From Rfam's summary of the family: Small nucleolar RNAs (snoRNAs) are involved in the processing and modification of rRNA in the nucleolus. There are two main classes of snoRNAs: the box C/D class, and the box H/ACA class. U3 snoRNA is a member of the box C/D class. The record is from Rfam by way of RNAcentral. Lineage: Eukaryota; Metazoa; Chordata; Mammalia; Primates; Hylobatidae.
AAGACUAUAUUUUCAGGCAUCAUUUCUAUAGUUUGUUACUAGAGAAGUUUCUCUGAACGUGUGGAGCACUAAAAUGCUA